UUCAACCCUCAAGCUCUGCUUGGUGUUGGGCCCCGCCCGCUCGCGGCCGGCCCUAAAGACAGUGGCGGCGGCGUCUGGCUCCAAGCGUAGUACAGCUGUCGCUCUGGGGCUAGGCGGUAGCCUGCCAGAACCCCCUUCUAU
Molecule: unclassified non-coding RNA, 141 nt
Filed under: uncultured Oidiodendron
Lineage: Eukaryota; Fungi; Ascomycota; Leotiomycetes; Myxotrichaceae
Description: sequence contains ITS2
Source: RNAcentral